Molecule: transfer RNA, 73 nt
Filed under: Caudoviricetes sp.
Lineage: Duplodnaviria; Heunggongvirae; Uroviricota; Caudoviricetes
Description: tRNA-Gln
Rfam family: tRNA
About the family: Transfer RNA (tRNA) molecules are approximately 80 nucleotides in length. Their secondary structure includes four short double-helical elements and three loops (D, anti-codon, and T loops).
Source: RNAcentral
GAGGGUAGUGGCCAAGCGGUAAGGCACAGCACUUUGACUGCUGCAUUCAUGGGUUCGAAUCCCAUCUACCCCG